RNAcentral lists this ribosomal RNA (450 nucleotides) under uncultured bacterium. RNAcentral describes it as "partial 16S ribosomal RNA". It matches the Rfam family "Bacterial small subunit ribosomal RNA", at positions 354 to 796 of the family's 1533-position model. The record is from RNAcentral.
GUGGGGAAUUUUGGACAAUGGGGGCAACCCUGAUCCAGCCAUCCCGCGUGUGCGAUGAAGGCCUUCGGGUUGUAAAGCACUUUUGGCAGGGAAGAAAAGUUUCGGGCUAAUACCCUGGAGCGAUGACGGUACCUGCAGAAUAAGCACCGGCUAACUACGUGCCAGCAGCCGCGGUAAUACGUAGGGUGCAAGCGUUAAUCGGAAUUACUGGGCGUAAAGCGUGCGCAGGCGGUUCGGAAAGAAAGAUGUGAAAUCCCAGGGCUUAACCUUGGAACUGCAUUUUUAACUGUCGAACUCGAGUAUGUCAGAGGGGGGUAGAAUUCCACGUGUAGCAGUGAAAUGCGUAGAGAUGUGGAGGAAUACCGAUGGCGAAGGCAGCCCCCUGGGAUAAUACUGACGCUCAUGCACGAAAGCGUGGGGAGCAAACAGGAUUAGAUACCCGAGUAGUCC